CCUACGGGAGGCAGCAGUGAGGAAUAUUGGUCAAUGGCCGAGAGGCUGAACCAGCCAAGUCGCGUGAGGGAAGAAUGUCCUAUGGAUUGUAAACCCCUUUUGUCAGGGAGCAAAGUCACCCACGUGUGGGUGUUGGCGAGUACAUGAAGAAAAAGCAUCGGCUAACUCCGUGCCAGCAGCCGAGGUAAUACGGAGGAUGCGAGCGUUAUCCGGAUUUAUUGGGUUUAAAGGGUGCGUAGGCGGGUUAUCAAGUCAGCGGUAAGAUCGUGGAGCUCAACUCCAUCCAGCCGUUGAAACUGAUUAUCUUGAGUGGGCGAGAAGUAUGCGGAAUGCGUGGUGUAGCGGUGAAAUGCAUAGAUAUCACGCAGAACUCCGAUUGCGAAGGCAGCAUACCGGCGCCCGACUGACGCUGAAGCACGAAAGCGUGGGUAUCGAACAGGAUUAGAUACCCCUGUAGUC
Molecule: ribosomal RNA, 459 nt
Filed under: uncultured bacterium
Lineage: Bacteria
Description: partial 16S ribosomal RNA
Rfam family: Bacterial small subunit ribosomal RNA
Source: RNAcentral